RNAcentral lists this ribosomal RNA (520 nucleotides) under uncultured Glomus. RNAcentral describes it as "SSU rRNA". It matches the Rfam family "Eukaryotic small subunit ribosomal RNA", at positions 569 to 1091 of the family's 1831-position model. The record is from RNAcentral. Lineage: Eukaryota; Fungi; Glomeromycota; Glomeromycetes; Glomerales; Glomeraceae.
AGCAGCCGCGGUAAUUCCAGCUCCAAUAGCGUAUAUUAAAGUUGUUGCAGUUAAAAAGCUCGUAGUUGAAUUUCGGGAUCAAUAUAUCGGUCGUGCCUUGGUACGUACUGGUAUCAUUGGUUUCUCCUUUCUGACGAACCAUGAUGUCAUUAAUUUGGUGUUAUGGGAAGUUAGGACUGUUACUUUGAAAAAAUUAGAGUGUUUAAAGCAGGCUUUGGCUUGAAUACAUUAGCAUGGAAUAAUGAAAUAGGACGUUCGAACCUAUUUUGUUGGUUUCUAGGAUCAACGUAAUGAUUAAUAGGGAUAGUUGGGGGCACUAGUAUUCAAUUGUCAGAGGUGAAAUUCUUGGAUUUAUUGAAGACUAACUACUGCGAAAGCAUUUGCCAAGGAUGUUUUCAUUAAUCUAAGAACGAAAGUUAGGGGAUCGAAGACGAUCAGAUACCGUCGUAGUCUUAACCAUAAACUAUAGCCGACUAGGGAUCGGAUGAUGUAAUUUUUAAUGACUCAUUCGGCGCCUUAC